UAGAAUAAAUUAAUGCCUCACUUCGCUCGGUCAAGUGCAUAGCACCUUGAGCAAUGAAAGACCUUCUCGCCUCAGGGGUGCCUAGCGCUUUUGACAAAAUUGCAGCAAGGUCAUUUGUUUCAUUAAAAAGACGUUUUCCAAUGAAAUGAGUUAUGCAAGUCUAAAUAACUUGUCACUCUGUUGAAACACACACACAUAACAGAGUUAAGUCAAUUAAGACACCUAUCCCCCUCAAAUGGAACAUUUCAUAGGAACUAAUACUGGAAUCUGUAGUAUAAAAACUAGCCACUUAAAAGUUUCUUUUGAGAGAGAGAGAGAGA
This 320-nucleotide unclassified non-coding RNA is filed under the name Hevea brasiliensis (rubber tree). Lineage: Eukaryota; Viridiplantae; Streptophyta; Magnoliopsida; Malpighiales; Euphorbiaceae. The record is from RNAcentral.